AGUGGCAACUUGUUCGGGUAUCCUUCCCCAGUGUGGAAGCUUUAGUUCUUUUGCUCUUUGCAAUGAAUCUUGCUGCUGCUCACUCUUUGGGUCCACGCUGCGUUUACACUGUGUUUAUGAGCUGUAACACUCACCACAAAGGUCUGCAGCUUCACUCCUGAAGCCAGCAAAGACCACGAACCCACCAGGAAGAAGGAACAACUCCAGACACGCAGCCUUAAGAGCUGUAACACUCACUGCCAAGGUCUUCAGCUUCACUCCUGAGCCAGCCAGACCAUGAACCCACCAGAAGGAAAAAACUCGGAACACAUCCCAACAUCAGAAGGAACAAACUCUGGACAUGCCGCCUUUAAGAACUGUAACAACGCAAGGGUCCGCGGCUUUAUUCUUGAAGUCAGUAAGACCAAGAACCCAAUUCCGGACACGUUUGGACCAUGGAAAGGCAGCUCAACAUCUGAGAAGCCAGUCUUACUCCCUGCAGGCAACAGCUGCUUCCAGAAAACAGCCCUGUAAUUGUCACCAUCAAAUCCAUAUAUUUUCAAGGGAAGUUGGUCCCACACCAGAAGUCAUAGCUGAAUCACCAGCAGUAAUGCAGGGACAUACUGGUUGCUUCUUGGCUUUUCCAACCCUCUGCCAUGCUUGAACAUCUUUGUGAAAGUCCAGGAACAACAAAUAAGCUUAAGGAUAAAAGCCCCCCAGCCAUACCACCACAACCCCCUGUUAAACUCAUGCAUGACUUGUAGAAUCCUUUCCCCACUGUCACUAAAAGGCUUUUUACAUUUUCCCUCCUUAAAACACCAGUUUACUGAAUGGAACGCUAUUUCCUAAAUAUUUGCUACACACACAGCUGUAUAUAGAGUUCCCAGGAGAUGACUUUUUUCUUGUCAUCUUUUAAAACUACAGUUAUAUGUUGAUUUAAUUAUCUUCUCUCUAGAUUACUUCACCAAAGUACAGUUCCUACAGGAAGAUAAUGAUCUGACCUAACCUACUAUUGGCUGAAGGAAGGAGAAAAGCAGCUGAAGAUGUCUGUUGAGUGAUUACCCUCAUAAUCCGUGACUAAGAACAUCCAAAUCAGCAUGGCUUCUUCCUGUCUGAAAUUAUUACUACUUAGGGUUUUUCACGUGUUAUUUCAUUUAUUGAUUAUUCUGUUUUAAACUUGCAAGACGUAUUGUCUCUUCAGAAAUAAAACUUUAUCACUUGCUUCAUCAA
This 1209-nucleotide long non-coding RNA is filed under the name Homo sapiens (human). RNAcentral describes it as "long intergenic non-protein coding RNA 1467". Lineage: Eukaryota; Metazoa; Chordata; Mammalia; Primates; Hominidae. The record is from RNAcentral.